UUUCCGUAGGUGAACCUGCGGAAGGAUCAUUACUGAGUGAGGGCCCCUCGGGGUCCAACCUCCCACCCGUGUUUAACGAACCUUGUUGCUUCGGCGGGCCCGCCUCACGGCCGCCGGGGGGCAUUUGCCCCCGGGCCCGCGCCCGCCGAAGCCACCUGUGAACGCUGUCUGAAGUAUGCAGUCUGAGACAAUUAUUAAAUUAAUUAAAACUUUCAACAACGGAUCUCUUGGUUCCGGCAUCGAUAGAACGCAGC
Molecule: unclassified non-coding RNA, 254 nt
Filed under: plant metagenome
Description: partial contains small subunit ribosomal RNA, internal transcribed spacer 1, and 5.8S ribosomal RNA
Source: RNAcentral